RNAcentral lists this unclassified non-coding RNA (253 nucleotides) under plant metagenome. RNAcentral's name for it is "partial contains small subunit ribosomal RNA, internal transcribed spacer 1, and 5.8S ribosomal RNA". The stretch from base 1 to 54 matches the Rfam family "Eukaryotic small subunit ribosomal RNA", at positions 1778 to 1831 of the family's 1831-position model. The record is from RNAcentral.
GGAAAUAAAAGUCGUAACAAGGUCUCCGUUGGUGAACCAGCGGAGGGAUCAUUACUGAGUUACCGCUCUACAACCCUUUGUGAACAUACCUAACUGUUGCUUCGGCGGGCAGAGGUCCCUCGCGGAUCUCUCCCGGCAACGCCCUCACGGGCGGAGCGCCCGCCGGAGGAUACCAAACUCUAUUUUAACGACGUUUCUUCUGAGUGGCACAAGCAAAUAAUUAAAACUUUUAACAACGGAUCUCUUGGUUCUG